CCCGCAGACCGCCUUAUCGCCGUCCUGAUUUAUUAGGAGGGAGGAAAGUCCGGACACCAUAGAGAAGCAUAGCGGGUAACACCCGUCGGUUCGAGCAAUCGGAUUAGGACAAGUGCAACAGAAAGUAUGUACAGGUAAUGCUGUAGUGAAACCAGGUAAACUCUAUGCGGUGAAAUAUCAAGUAUAUCAGCAUUUAAGGGCUUCUCGUCCGUUGUUGAAGGGUAGAUAGCUUGAGUCUUGCAGUAAUGUAAGAUCUAGAUAAAUGAUAAGGCUCCGUUUACGGAGACAGAAUCCGGCUUAUAGGUCUGCUUUUUUU
Non-coding RNA from Flavobacteria bacterium GWA2_35_26, 316 nucleotides. Lineage: Bacteria; Pseudomonadati; Bacteroidota; Flavobacteriia. The record is from Rfam.